RNAcentral lists this unclassified non-coding RNA (303 nucleotides) under plant metagenome. RNAcentral's name for it is "partial contains 5.8S ribosomal RNA, internal transcribed spacer 2, and large subunit ribosomal RNA". The stretch from base 1 to 105 matches the Rfam family "5.8S ribosomal RNA", at positions 50 to 154 of the family's 154-position model. The record is from RNAcentral.
GAAAUGCGAUAAGUAGUGUGAAUUGCAGAAUUCAGUGAAUCAUCGAAUCUUUGAACGCACAUUGCGCCCUUUGGUAUUCCUUAGGGCAUGCCUGUUCGAGCGUCAUUUAAACCUUCAAGCUCAGCUUGGUGAUGGGUGACUGUCCUCCCCUCGCGGGGGGGACUCGCCUCAAAAACAUUGGCGGCCGGUACAUUGGCUUCGAGCGCAGCAUAAACGCGGUCUCGAGUCCGGUGGAUCGGCUCCCAUAAGCCUUCUUUUUUAUUUUGACCUCGGAUCAGGUAGGGAUACCCGCUGAACUUAAGC